GCCGACGUAACUCAGGGGUAGAGUACCUCAUUCGUAAUGAGGGAGUCGGGGGUUCGAAUCCCUUCGUCGGCACCA
This 75-nucleotide transfer RNA is filed under the name Agrobacterium rubi. RNAcentral describes it as "tRNA-Thr". It matches the Rfam family "tRNA". From Rfam's summary of the family: Transfer RNA (tRNA) molecules are approximately 80 nucleotides in length. Lineage: Bacteria; Pseudomonadati; Pseudomonadota; Alphaproteobacteria; Hyphomicrobiales; Rhizobiaceae. The record is from RNAcentral.